GUUAGGGUUGGAGUUAGGGUUAGUGUUGGAGCUAGGGUUAGGGUUGGGCUUGGAGCUAGGAUUUUUCUGAGUGCAAUGAACCAACUCCCGAGUCUCUAGGACGUUCCCAAAAAAAUUGAUUUUUUCCCAUAGGAAUGCAUGGGUUAGGGUUAGGGUUAGGGUUAGGGUUGGAGCUAGGGUUAGGGUUAGGGUUAGGGUUGGAGUUAGGGUUAGUGUUGGAGCUAGGGUUAGGGUUGGGCUUGGAGCUAGGAUUUUUCUGAGUGCAAUGAACCAACUCCUGAGUCUCUAGGACGUUCCUAAAAAAAUUUGAUUUUUUCCCAUAGGAAUGCAUGGGUUAGGGUUAGGGUUAGGGUUGGAGCUAGGGUUAGGGUUAGGGUUAGGGUUGGAGUUAGGGUUAGUGUUGGAGCUAGGGUUAGGGUUGGGCUUGGAGCUAGGAUUUUUCUGAGUGCAAUGAACCAACUCCCGAGUCUCUAGGACGUUCCUAAAAAAAUUUGAUUUUUUCCCAUAGGAUUGCAUGGGUUAGGGUUAGGGUUAGGGUUAGGGUUGGAGCUAGGGUUAGGGUUAGGGUUAGGGUUGGAGUUAGGGUUAGUGUUGGAGCUAGGGUUAGGGUUGGGCUUGGAGCUAGGAUUUUUCGGAGUGCAAUGAACCAACUCCCGAGUCUCUAGGACGUUCCUAAAAAAAUUUGAUUUUUUCCCAUAGGAAUGCAUGGGUUAGGGUUAGGGUUAGGGUUGGAGCUAGGGUUAGGGUUAGGGUUAGGGUUGGAGUUGGAGCUAGGGUUAGGGUUGGGCUUGGAGCUAGGAUUUUUCUGAGUGCAAUGAACCAACUCCCGAGUCUCUAGGACGUUCCUAAAAAAAUUUGAUUUUUUCCCAUAGGAAUGCAUGGGUUAGGGUUAGGGUUAGGGUUUGAGCUAGGGUUAGGGUUAGGGUUAGGGUUGGAGUUAGGGUUAGUGUUGGAGCUAGGGUUAGGGUUGGGCUUGGAGCUAGGAUUUUUCUGAGUGCACUGAACCAACUCCCGAGUCUCUAGGACGUUCCUAAAAAAAUUUGAUUUUUUCCCAUAGGAAUGCAUGGGUUAGGGUUAGGGUUAGGGUUAGGGUUGGAGCUAGGGUUAGGGUUAGGGUUAGGGUUAGGGUUGGAGUUAGGGUUAGUGUUGGAGCUAGGGUUAGGGUUGGGCUUGGAGCUAGGAUUUUUCGGAGUGCAAUGAACCAACUCCCGAGUCUCUAGGACGUUCCUAAAAAUUUUUUAUUUUUUCCCAUAGGAAUGCAUGGGUUAGGGUUAGGGUUAGGGUUGGAGCUAGGGUUAGGGUUAGGGUUAGGGUUGGAGUUAGGGUUAGUGUUGGAGCUAGGGUUAGGGUUGGGCUUGGAGCUAGGAUUUUUCUGAGUGCAAUGAACCAACUCCGAGUCUCUAGGACAUUCCUAAAAAAAUUUGAUUUUUUUCCCAUAGGAAUGCAUGGGUUAGGGUUAGGGUUAGGGUUGGAGCUAGGGUUAGGGUUAGGGUUAGGGUUGGAGUUAGGGUUAGUGUUGGAGCUAGGGUUAGGGUUGGGCUUGGAGCUAGGAUUUUUCUGAGUGCAAUGAACCAACUCCCGAGUCUCUAGGACGUUCCUAAAAAAAUUUGAUUUUUUCCCAUAGGAAUGCAUGGGUUAGGGUUAGGGUUAGGGUUUGAGCUAGGGUUAGGGUUAGGGUUAGGGUUGGAGUUAGGGUUAGUGUUGGAGCUAGGGUUAGGGUUGGGCUUGGAGCUAGGAUUUUUCUGAGUGCACUGAACCAACUCCCGAGUCUCUAGGACGUUCCUAAAAAAAUUUGAUUUUUUCCCAUAGGAAUGCAUGGGUUAGGGUUAGGGUUAGGGUUAGGGUUGGAGCUAGGGUUAGGGUUAGGGUUAGGGUUGGAGUUAGGGUUAGUGUUGGAGCUAGGGUUAGGGUUGGGCUUGGAGCUAGGAUUUUUCGGAGUGCAAUGAACCAACUCCCGAGUCUCUAGGACGUUCCUAAAAAAUUUUUAUUUUUUCCCAUAGGAAUGCAUGGGUUAGGGUUAGGGUUAGGAUUGGAGCUAGGGUUAGGGUUAGGGUUAGGGUUGGAGUUGGAGCUAGGGUUAGGGUUGGGCUUGGAGCUAGGAUUUUUCUGAGUGCAAUGAACCAACUCCCGAGUCUCUAGGACGUUCCCAAAAAAAUUUGAUUUUUUCCCAUAGGAAUGCAUGGGUUAGGGUUAGGGUUAGGGUUGGAGCUAGGGUUAGGGUUAGGGUUAGGGUUGGAGUUAGGGUUAGUGUUGGAGCUAGGGUUAGGGUUGGGCUUGGAGCUAGGAUUUUUCUGAGUGCAAUGAACCAACUCCCGAGUCUCUAGGACGUUCCUAAAAAAAUUUGAUUUUUUCCCAUAGGAAUGCAUGGGUUAGGGUUAGGGUUAGGGUUUGAGCUAGGGUUAGGGUUAGGGUUAGGGUUGGCGUUAGGGUUAGUGUUGGAGCUAGGGUUAGGGUUGGGCUUGGAGCUAGGAUUUUUCUGAGUGCACUGAACCAACUCCCGAGUCUCUAGGACGUUCCUAAAAAAAUUUGAUUUUUUCCCAUAGGAAUGCAUGGGUUAGGGUUAGGGUUAGGGUUGGAGCUAGGGUUAGGGUUAGGGUUAGGGUUGGAGUUAGGGUUAGUGUUGGAGCUAGGGUUAGGGUUGGGCUUGGAGCUAGGAUUUUUCUGAGUGCACUGAACCAACUCCCGAGUCUCUAGGACGUUCCUAAAAAAAUUUGAUUUUUCCCAUAGGAAUGCAUGGGUUAGGGUUAGGGUUAGGGUUAGGGUUGGAGCUAGGGUUAGGGUUAGGGUUAGGGUUGGAGUUAGGGUUAGUGUUGGAGCUAGGGUUAGGGUUGGGCUUGGAGCUAGGAUUUUUCUGAGUGCACUGAACCAACUCCCAAGUCUCUAGGACGUUCCUAAAAAAAUUUGAUUUUUUCCCAUAGGAAUGCAUGGGUUAGGGUUAGGGUUAGGGUUAGGGUUGGAGCUAGGGUUAGGGUUGGAGUUAGGGUUAGUGUUGGAGCUAGGGUUAGGGUUGGGCUUGGAGCUAGGAUUUUUCUGAGUGCAAUGAACCAACUCCCGAGUCUCUAUGACGUUCCUAAAAAAAUUGAUUUUUUCCCAUAGGAAUGCAUGGGUUAGGGUUAGGGUUAGGGUUGGAGCUAGGGUUAGGGUUAGGGUUAGGGUUAGUGUUGGAGCUAGGGUUAGGGUUGGGCUUGGAGCUAGGAUUUUUCUGAGUGCAAUGAACCAACUCCCGAGUCUCUAGGACGUUCCUAAAAAAAUUUGAUUUUUUCCCAUAGGAAUGCAUGGGUUAGGGUUAGGGUUAGGGUUGGAGCUAGGGUUAGGGUUAGGGUUAGGGUUUGAGUUAGGGUUAGUGUUGGAGCUAGGGUUAGGGUUGGGCUUGGAGCUAGGAUUUUUCUGAGUGCAAUGAACCAACUCCCGAGUCUCUAGGACGUUCCUAAAAAAAUUUGAUUUUUUCCCAUAGGAAUGCAUGGGUUAGGGUUAAGGGUUAGGGUUUGGAGCUAGGGUUAGGGUUGGAGUUAGGGUUAGUGUUGGAGCUAGGGUUAGGGUUGGGCUUGGAGCUAAGAUUUUUCUGAGUGCACUGAACCAACUCCCGAGUCUCUAGGACGUUCCUAAAAAAAUUUGAUUUUUUCCCAUAGGAAUGCAUGGGUUAGGGUUAGGGUUAGGGUUGGAGCUAGGGUUAGGGUUAGGGUUAGGGUUGGAGUUAGGGUUAGUGUUGGAGCUAGGGUUAGGGUUGGGCUUGGAGCUAGGAUUGUUCUGAGUCCACUGAACAAACUCCCGAGUCUCUAGGACGUUCCUAAAAAAAUUUGAUUUUUCCCAUAGGAAUGCAUGGGUUAGGGUUAGGGUUAGGGUUAGGGUUGGAGCUAGGGUUAGGGUUAGGGUUAGGGUUGGAGUUAGGGUUAGUGUUGGAGCUAGGGUUAGGGUUGGGCUUGGAGCUAGGAUUUUUCUGAGUGCACUGAACCAACUCCCAAGUCUCUAGGACGUUCCUAAAAAAAUUUGAUUUUUUCCCAUAGGAAUGCAUGGGUUAGGGUUAGGGUUAGGGUUAGGGUUGGAGCUAGGGUUAGGGUUGGAGUUAGGGUUAGUGUUGGAGCUGGGGUUAGGGUUGAGCUUGGAGCUAGGAUUUUUCUGAGUGCAAUGAACCAACUCCCGAGUCUCUAGGACGUUCCUAAAAAAUUUGAUUUUUUCCCAUAGGAAUGCAUGGGUUAGGGUUAGGGUUGGAGCUAGGGUUAGGGUUAGGGUUAGGGUUGGAGUUAGGGUUAGUGUUGGAGCUAGGGUUAGGGUUGGGCUUGGAGCUAGGAUUUUUCUGAGUGCAAUGAACCAACUCCCGAGUCUCUAGGACGUUCCUAAAAAAAUUUGAUUUUUUCCCAUAGGAAUGCAUGGGUUAGGGUUAGGGUUAGGGUUAGGGUUGGAGCUAGGGUUAGGGUUAGGGUUAGGGUUGGAGUUAGGGUUAGUGUUGGAGCUAGGGUUAGGGUUGGGCUUGGAGCUAGGAUUUUUCUGAGUGCACUGAACCAACUCCCGAGUCUCUAGGACGUUCCUAAAAAAAUUUGAUUUUUUCCCAUAGGAAUGCAUGGGUUAGGGUUAGGGUUAGGGUUGGAGCUAGGGUUAGGGUUAGGGUUAGGGUUGGAGUUAGGGUUAGUGUUGGAGCUAGGGUUAGGGUUGGGCUUGGAGCUAGGAUUUUUCUGAGUGCAAUGAACCAACUCCCGAGUCUCUAGGACGUUCCUAAAAAAAUUUGAUUUUUUCCCAUAGUAAUGCAUGGGUUAGGGUUAGGGUUAGGGUUGGAGCUAGGGUUAGGGUUAGGGUUAGGGUUGGAGUUAGGGUUAGUGUUGGAGCUAGGGUUAGGGUUGGGCUUGGAGCUAGGAUUUUUCUGAGUGCACUGAACCAACUCCCGAGUCUCUAGGACGUUCCUAAAAAAAUUUGAUUUUUUCCCAUAGGAAUGCAUGGGUUAGGGUUAGGGUUAGGGUUGGAGCUAGGGUUAGGGUUAGGGUUAGGGUUAGGGUUGGAGUUAGGGUUAGUGUUGGAGCUAGGGUUAGGGUUGGGCUUGGAGCUAGGAUUUUUCUGAGUGCACUGAACCAACUCCCGAGUCUCUAGGACGUUCCUAAAAAAAUUUGAUUUUUUCCCAUAGGAAUGCAUGGGUUAGGGUUAGGGUUAGGGUUGGAGCUAGGGUUAGGGUUAGGGUUAGGGUUGGAGUUAGGGUUAGUGUUGGAGCUAGGGUUAGGGUUGGGCUUGGAGCUAGGAUUUUUCUGAGUGCACUGAACCAACUCCCGAGUCUCUAGGACGUUCCUAAAAAAAUUUGAUUUUUUCCCAUAGGAAUGCAUGGGUUAGGGUUAGGGUUAGGGUUGGAGCUAGGGUUAGGGUUAGGGUUAGGGUUGGAGUUAGGGUUAGUGUUGGAGCUAGGGUUAGGGUUGGGCUUGGAGCUAGGAUUUUUCUGAGUGCAAUGAACCAACUCCCGAGUCUCUAGGACGUUCCUAAAAAAAUUAGAUUUUUUCCCAUAGGAAUGCAUGGGUUAGGGUUAGGGUUAGGGUUAGGGUUGGAGCUAGGGUUAGGGUUAGGGUUAGGGUUGGAGUUAGGGUUAGUGUUGGAGCUAGGAUUAGGGUUGGGCUUGGAGCUAGGAUUUUUCUGAGUGCAAUGAACCAACUCCCGAGUCUCUAGGACGUUCCUAAAAAUUUUUUAUUUUUUCCCAUAGGAAUGCAUGGGUUAGGGUUAGGGUUAGGGUUAGGGUUGGAGCUAGGGUUAGGGUUAGGGUUAGGGUUGGAGUUAGGGUUAGUGUUGGAGCUAGGGUUAGGGUUGGGGUUAGGGUUGGAGUUAGGGUUAGUGUUGGAGCUAGGGUUAGGGUUGGGCUUGGAGCUAGGAUUUUUCUGAGUGCACUGAACCAACUCCCGAGUCUCUAGGACGUUCCUAAAAAAAUUUGAUUUUUUCCCAUAGGAAUGCAUGGGUUAGGGUUAGGGUUAGGGUUAGGGUUGGAGCUAGGGUUAGGGUUAGGGUUAGGGUUGGAGUUAGGGUUAGUGUUGGAGCUAGGGUUAGGGUUGGGCUUGGAGCUAGGAUUUUUCUGAGUGCAAUGAACCAACUCCCGAGUCUCUAGGACGUUCCUAAAAAAAUUGAUUUUUUCCCAUAGUAAUGCAUGGGUUAGGGUUAGGGUUAGGGUUGGAGCUAGGGUUAGGGUUAGGGUUAGGGUUGGAGUUAGGGUUAGUGUUGGAGCUAGGGUUAGGGUUGGGCUUGGAGCUAGGAUUUUUCUGAGUGCAAUGAACCAACUCCCGAGUCUCUAGGACGUUCCUAAAAAAAUUUGAUUUUUUCCCAUAGGAAUGCAUGGGUUAGGGUUAGGGUUAGGGUUGGAGCUAGGGUUAGGGUUAGGGUUGGAAUUAGGGUUAGUGUUGGAGCUAGGGUUAGGGUUGGGCUUGGAGCUAGGAUUUUUCUGAGUGCAAUGAACCAACUCCCGAGUCUCUAGGACGUUCCUAAAAAAAUUUGAUUUUUUCCCAUAGGAAUGCAUGGGUUAGGGUUAGGGUUAGGGUUGGAGCUAGGGUUAGGGUUAGGGUUAGGGUUGGAGUUAGGGUUAGUGUUGGAGCUAGGGUUAGGGUUGGGCUUGGAGCUAGGAUUUUUCUGAGUGCACUGAACCAACUCCCGAGUCUCUAGGACGUUCCUAAAAAAAUUUGAUUUUUUCCCAUAGGAAUGCAUGGGUUAGGGUUAGGGUUAGGGUUAGGGUUGGAGUUAGGGUUAGUGUUGGAGCUAGGGUUAGGGUUGGGCUUGGAGCUAGGAUUUUUCUGAGUGCAAUGAACCAACUCCCGAGUCUCUAGGACGUUCCUAAAAAAAUUUGAUUUUUUCCCAUAGUAAUGCAUGGGUUAGGGUUAGGGUUAGGGUUGGAGCUAGGGUUAGGGUUAGGGUUAGGGUUGGAGUUAGGGUUAGUGUUGGAGCUAGGGUUAGGGUUGGUCCUGGAGCUAGGAUUUUUCUGAGUGCAAUGAACCAACUCCCGAGUCUCUAGGACGUUCCUAAAAAAAUUUGAUUUUUUCCCAUAGUAAUGCAUGGGUUAGGGUUAGGGUUAGGGUUGUAGCUAGGGUUAGGGUUAGGGUUAGGGUUGGAGUUAGGGUUAGUGUUGGAGCUAGGGUGAGGGUUGGGCUUGGAGCUAGGAUUUUUCUGAGUGCACUGAACCAACUCCCGAGUCUCUAGGACGUUCCUAAAAAAAUUUGAUUUUUUCCCAUAGGAAUGCAUGGGUUAGGGUUAGGGUUAGGGUUGGAGCUAGGGUUAGGGUUAGGGUUAGGGUUGGAGUUAGGGUUAGUGUUGGAGCUAGGGUUAGGGUUGGGCUUGGAGCUAGGAUUUUUCUGAGUGCACUGAACCAACUCCCGAGUCUCUAGGACGUUCCUAAAAAAAUUUUGAUUUUUUCCCAUAGGAAUGCAUGGGUUAGGGUUAGGGUUAGGGUUAGGGUUGGAGCUAGGGUUAGGGUUAGGGUUAGGGUUGGAGUUAGGGUUAGUGUUGGAGCUAGGGUUAGGGUUGGGCUUGGAGCUAGGAUUUUUCUGAGUGCAAUGAACCAACUCCCGAGUCUCUAGGACGUUCCUAAAAAAAUUUGAUUUUUUCCCAUAGGAAUGCAUGGGUUAGGGUUAGGGUUAGGGUUAGGGUUGGAGCUAGGGUUAGGGUUAGGGUUAGGGUUGGAGUUAGGGUUAGUGUUGGAGCUAGGGUUAGGGUUGGGGUUAGGGUUGGAGUUAGGGUUAGUGUUGGAGCUAGGGUUAGGGUUGGGCUUGGAGCUAGGAUUUUUCUGAGUGCACUGAACCAACUCCCGAGUCUCUAGGACGUUCCUAAAAAAUUUGAUUUUUUCCCAUAGGAAUGCAUGGGUUAGGGUUAGGGUUAGGGUUAGGGUUGGAGCUAGGGUUAGGGUUAGGGUUAGGGUUGGAGUUAGGGUUAGUGUUGGAGCUAGGGUUAGGGUUGGGCUUGGAGCUAGGAUUUUUCUGAGUGCAAUGAACCAACUCCCGAGUCUCUAGGACGUUCCUAAAAAAAUUUGAUUUUUUCCCAUAGUAAUGCAUGGGUUAGGGUUAGGGUUAGGGUUGGAGCUAGGGUUAGGGUUAGGGUUAGGGUUGGAGUUAGGGUUAGUGUUGGAGCUAGGGUUAGGGUUGGGCUUGGAGCUAGGAUUUUUCUGAGUGCACUGAACCAACUCCCAAGUCUCUAGGACGUUCCUAAAAAAAUUUGAUUUUUUCCCAUAGGAAUGCAUGGGUUAGGGUUAGGGUUAGGGUUAGGGUUGGAGCUAGGGUUAGGGUUGGAGUUAGGGUUAGUGUUGGAGCUGGGGUUAGGGUUGAGCUUGGAGCUAGGAUUUUUCUGAGUGCAAUGAACCAACUCCCGAGUCUCUAGGACGUUCCUAAAAAAAUUUGAUUUUUUCCCAUAGGAAUGCAUGGGUUAGGGUUAGGGUUGGAGCUAGGGUUAGGGUUAGGGUUAGGGUUGGAGUUAGGGUUAGUGUUGGAGCUAGGGUUAGGGUUGGGCUUGGAGCUAGGAUUUUUCUGAGUGCAAUGAACCAACUCCCGAGUCUCUAGGACGUUCCUAAAAAAAUUUGAUUUUUUCCCAUAGGAAUGCAUGGGUUAGGGUUAGGGUUAGGGUUAGGGUUGGAGCUAGGGUUAGGGUUAGGGUUAGGGUUGGAGUUAGGGUUAGUGUUGGAGCUAGGGUUAGGGUUGGGCUUGGAGCUAGGAUUUUUCUGAGUGCACUGAACCAACUCCCGAGUCUCUAGGACGUUCCUAAAAAAAUUUGAUUUUUUCCCAUAGGAAUGCAUGGGUUAGGGUUAGGGUUAGGGUUGGAGCUAGGGUUAGGGUUAGGGUUAGGGUUGGAGUUAGGGUUAGUGUUGGAGCUAGGGUUAGGGUUGGGCUUGGAGCUAGGAUUUUUCUGAGUGCAAUGAACCAACUCCCGAGUCUCUAGGACGUUCCUAAAAAAAUUUGAUUUUUUCCCAUAGUAAUGCAUGGGUUAGGGUUAGGGUUAGGGUUGGAGCUAGGGUUAGGGUUAGGGUUAGGGUUGGAGUUAGGGUUAGUGUUGGAGCUAGGGUUAGGGUUGGGCUUGGAGCUAGGAUUUUUCUGAGUGCACUGAACCAACUCCCGAGUCUCUAGGACGUUCCUAAAAAAAUUUGAUUUUUUCCCAUAGGAAUGCAUGGGUUAGGGUUAGGGUUAGGGUUGGAGCUAGGGUUAGGGUUAGGGUUAGGGUUAGGGUUGGAGUUAGGGUUAGUGUUGGAGCUAGGGUUAGGGUUGGGCUUGGAGCUAGGAUUUUUCUGAGUGCACUGAACCAACUCCCGAGUCUCUAGGACGUUCCUAAAAAAAUUUGAUUUUUUCCCAUAGGAAUGCAUGGGUUAGGGUUAGGGUUAGGGUUGGAGCUAGGGUUAGGGUUAGGGUUAGGGUUGGAGUUAGGGUUAGUGUUGGAGCUAGGGUUAGGGUUGGGCUUGGAGCUAGGAUUUUUCUGAGUGCAAUGAACCAACUCCCGAGUCUCUAGGACGUUCCUAAAAAAAUUUGAUUUUUUCCCAUAGGAAUGCAUGGGUUAGGGUUAGGGUUAGGGUUGGAGCUAGGGUUAGGGUUAGGGUUAGGGUUGGAGUUAGGGUUAGUGUUGGAGCUAGGGUUAGGGUUGGGCUUGGAGCUAGGAUUUUUCUGAGUGCAAUGAACCAACUCCCGAGUCUCUAGGACGUUCCUAAAAAAAUUUGAUUUUUUCCCAUAGGAAUGCAUGGGUUAGGGUUAGGGUUAGGGUUAGGGUUAGGGUUAGGGUUAGGGUUAGGGUUAGGGUUGGAGUUAGGGUUAGUGUUGGAGCUAGGGUUAGGGUUGGGCUUGGAGCUAGGAUUUUUCUGAGUGCAAUGAACCAACUCCCGAGUCUCUAGGACGUUCCUAAAAAUUUUUUAUUUUUUCCCAUAGGAAUGCAUGGGUUAGGGUUAGGGUUAGGGUUAGGGUUGGAGCUAGGGUUAGGGUUAGGGUUAGGGUUGGAGUUAGGGUUAGUGUUGGAGCUAGGGUUAGGGUUGGGGUUAGGGUUGGAGUUAGGGUUAGUGUUGGAGCUAGGGUUAGGGUUGGGCUUGGAGCUAGGAUUUUUCUGAGUGCACUGAACCAACUCCCGAGUCUCUAGGACGUUCCUAAAAAAAUUUGAUUUUUUCCCAUAGGAAUGCAUGGGUUAGGGUUAGGGUUAGGGUUAGGGUUGGAGCUAGGGUUAGGGUUAGGGUUAGGGUUGGAGUUAGGGUUAGUGUUGGAGCUAGGGUUAGGGUUGGGCUUGGAGCUAGGAUUUUUCUGAGUGCAAUGAACCAACUCCCGAGUCUCUAGGACGUUCCUAAAAAAAUUUGAUUUUUUCCCAUAGGAAUGCAUGGGUUAGGGUUAGGGUUAGGGUUGGAGCUAGGGUUAGGGUUAGGGUUAGGGUUGGAGUUAGGGUUAGUGUUGGAGCUAGGGUUAGGGUUGGGCUUGGAGCUAGGAUUUUUCUGAGUGCAAUGAACCAACUCCCGAGUCUCUAGGACGUUCCUAAAAAAAUUUGAUUUUUUCCCAUAGGAAUGCAUGGGUUAGGGUUAGGGUUAGGGUUGGAGCUAGGGUUAGGGUUAGGGUUGGAAUUAGGGUUAGUGUUGGAGCUAGGGUUAGGGUUGGGCUUGGAGCUAGGAUUUUUCUGAGUGCAAUGAACCAACUCCCGAGUCUCUAGGACGUUCCUAAAAAAAUUUGAUUUUUUUCCCAUAGGAAUGCAUGGGUUAGGGUUAGGGUUAGGGUUGGAGCUAGGGUUAGGGUUAGGGUUAGGGUUGGAGUUAGGGUUAGUGUUGGAGCUAGGGUUAGGGUUGGGCUUGGAGCUAGGAUUUUUCUGAGUGCACUGAACCAACUCCCGAGUCUCUAGGACGUUCCUAAAAAAAUUUGAUUUUUUCCCAUAGGAAUGCAUGGGUUAGGGUUAGGGUUAGGGUUAGGGUUGGAGUUAGGGUUAGUGUUGGAGCUAGGGUUAGGGUUGGGCUUGGAGCUAGGAUUUUUCUGAGUGCAAUGAACCAACUCCCGAGUCUCUAGGACGUUCCUAAAAAAAUUUGAUUUUUUCCCAUAGUAAUGCAUGGGUUAGGGUUAGGGUUAGGGUUGGAGCUAGGGUUAGGGUUAGGGUUAGGGUUGGAGUUAGGGUUAGUGUUGGAGCUAGGGUUAGGGUUGGGCUUGGAGCUAGGAUUUUUCUGAGUGCAAUGAACCAACUCCCGAGUCUCUAGGACGUUCCUAAAAAAAUUUGAUUUUUUCCCAUAGGAAUGCAUGGGUUAGGGUUAGGGUUAGGGUUGGAGCUAGGGUUAGGGUUAGGGUUAGGGUUGGAGUUAGGGUUAGUGUUGGAGCUAGGGUUAGGGUUGGGCUUGGAGCUAGGAUUUUUCUGAGUGCACUGAACCAACUCCCGAGUCUCUAGGACGUUCCUAAAAAAUUUGAUUUUUUUCCCAUAGGAAUGCAUGGGUUAGGGUUAGGGUUAGGGUUGGAGCUAGGGUUAGGGUUAGGGUUAGGGUUGGAGUUAGGGUUAGUGUUGGAGCUAGGGUUAGGGUUGGGCUUGGAGCUAGGAUUUUUCUGAGUGCACUGAACCAACUCCCGAGUCUCUAGGACGUUCCUAAAAAAAUUUUGAUUUUUUCCCAUAGGAAUGCAUGGGUUAGGGUUAGGGUUAGGGUUAGGGUUGGAGCUAGGGUUAGGGUUAGGGUUAGGGUUGGAGUUAGGGUUAGUGUUGGAGCUAGGGUUAGGGUUGGGCUUGGAGCUAGGAUUUUUCUGAGUGCAAUGAACCAACUCCCGAGUCUCUAGGACGUUCCUAAAAAAAUUUGAUUUUUUCCCAUAGGAAUGCAUGGGUUAGGGUUAGGGUUAGGGUUAGGGUUGGAGCUAGGGUUAGGGUUAGGGUUAGGGUUGGAGUUAGGGUUAGUGUUGGAGCUAGGGUUAGGGUUGGGGUUAGGGUUGGAGUUAGGGUUAGUGUUGGAGCUAGGGUUAGGGUUGGGCUUGGAGCUAGGAUUUUUCUGAGUGCACUGAACCAACUCCCGAGUCUCUAGGACGUUCCUAAAAAAAUUUGAUUUUUUCCCAUAGGAAUGCAUGGGUUAGGGUUAGGGUUAGGGUUAGGGUUGGAGCUAGGGUUAGGGUUAGGGUUAGGGUUGGAGUUAGGGUUAGUGUUGGAGCUAGGGUUAGGGUUGGGCUUGGAGCUAGGAUUUUUCUGAGUGCAAUGAACCAACUCCCGAGUCUCUAGGACGUUCCUAAAAAAAUUUGAUUUUUUCCCAUAGUAAUGCAUGGGUUAGGGUUAGGGUUAGGGUUGGAGCUAGGGUUAGGGUUAGGGUUAGGGUUGGAGUUAGGGUUAGUGUUGGAGCUAGGGUUAGGGUUGGGCUUGGAGCUAGGAUUUUUCUGAGUGCAAUGAACCAACUCCCGAGUCUCUAGGACGUUCCUAAAAAAAUUUGAUUUUUUCCCAUAGUAAUGCAUGGGUUAGGGUUAGGGUUAGGGUUGGAGCUAGGGUUAGGGUUAGGGUUAGGGUUGGAGUUAGGGUUAGUGUUGGAGCUAGGGUUAGGGUUGGGCUUGGAGCUAGGAUUUUUCUGAGUGCACUGAACCAACUCCCGAGUCUCUAGGACGUUCCUAAAAAAAUUUGAUUUUUUCCCAUUGGAAUGCAUGGGUUAGGGUUAGGGUUAGGGUUGGAGCUAGGGUUAGGGUUAGGGUUAGGGUUGGAGUUAGGGUUAGUGUUGGAGCUAGGGUUAGGGUUGGGCUUGGAGCUAGGAUUUUUCUGAGUGCACUGAACCAACUCCCGAGUCUCUAGGACGUUCCUAAAAAAAUUUGAUUUUUUCCCAUAGGAUUGCAUGGGUUAGGGUUAGGGUUAGGGUUAGGGUUGGAGCUAGGGUUAGGGUUAGGGUUAGGGUUGGAGUUAGGGUUAGUGUUGGAGCUAGGGUUAGGGUUGGGCUUGGAGCUAGGAUUUUUCUGAGUGCAAUGAACCAACUCCCGAGUCUCUAGGACGUUCCUAAAAAAAUUUGAUUUUUUCCCAUAGGAAUGCAUGGGUUAGGGUUAGGGUUAGGGUUGGAGCUAGGGUUAGGGUUAGGGUUGGAGUUAGGGUUAGUGUUGGAGCUAGGGUUAGGGUUGGGCUUGGAGCUAGGAUUUUUCUGAGUGCAAUGAACCAACUCCCGAGUCUCUAGGACGUUCCUAAAAAAAUUUGAUUUUUUCCCAUAGUAAUGCAUGGGUUAGGGUUAGGGUUAGGGUUGGAGCUAGGGUUAGGGUUAGGGUUAGGGUUGGAGUUAGGGUUAGUGUUGGAGCUAGGGUUAGGGUUGGGCUUGGAGCUAGGAUUUUUCUGAGUGCAAUGAACCAACUCCCAAGUCUCUAGGACGUUCCUAAAAAAAUUUGAUUUUUUCCCAUAGGAAUGCAUGGGUUAGGGUUAGGGUCAGGGUUAGGGUUGGAGCAAGGGUUAGGGUUAGGGUUAGGGUUGGAGUUAGGGUUAGUGUUGGAGCUAGGGUUAGGGUUGGGCUUGGAGCUAGGAUUUUUCUGAGUGCACUGAACCAACUCCCGAGUCUAUAGGACGUUCCUAAAAAAUUUGAUUUUUUCCCAUAGGAAUGCAUGGGUUAGGGUUAGGGUUAGGGUUGGAGCUAGGGUUAGGGUUAGGGUUAGGGUUGGAGUUAGGGUUAGUGUUGGAGCUAGGGUUAGGGUUGGGCUUGGAGCUAGGAUUUUUCUGAGUGCAAUGAACCAACUCCCGAGUCUCUAGGACAUUCCUAAAAAAAUUUGAUUUUUUCCCAUAGGAAUGCAUGGGUUAGGGUUAGGGUUAGGGUUGGAGCUAGGGUUAGGGUUAGGGUUAGGGUUGGAGUUAGGGUUAGUGUUGGAGCUAGGGUUAGGGUUGGGCUUGGAGCUAGGAUUUUUCGGAGUGCAAUGAACCAACUCCCGAGUCUCUAGGACGUUCCUAAAUAAUUUUUAUUUUUUCCCAUAGGAAUGCAUGGGUUAGGGUUAGGGUUAGGGUUGGAGCUAGGGUUAGGGUUAGGGUUAGGGUUGGAGUUAGGGUUAGUGUUGGAGCUAGGGUUAGGGUUGGGCUUGGAGCUAGGAUUUUUCUGAGUGCAAUGAACCAACUCCCGAGUCUCUAGGACGUUCCUAAAAAAAUUAGAUUUUUUCCCAUAGGAAUGCAUGGGUUAGGGUUAGGGUUAGGGUUGGAGCUAGGGUUAGGGUUAGGGUUAGGGUUGGAGUUAGGGUUAGUGUUGGAGCUAGGGUUAGGGUUGGGCUUGGAGCUAGGAUUUUUCUGAGUGCAAUGAACCAACUCCCGAGUCUCUAGGACGUUCCUAAAAAAAUUUGAUUUUUUCCCAUAGGAAUGCAUGGGUUAGGGUUAGGGUUAGGGUUGGAGCUAGGGUUAGGGUUAGGGUUAGGGUUGGAGUUAGGGUUAGUGUUGGAGCUAGGGUUAGGGUUGGGCUUGGAGCUAGGAUUUUUCUGAGUGCACUGAACCAACUCCCGAGUCUCUAGGACGUUCCUAAAAAAAUUUGAUUUUUUCCCAUAGGAAUGCAUGGGUUAGGGUUAGGGUUAGGGUUGGAGCUAGGGUUAGGGUUAGGGUUAGGGUUGGAGUUAGGGUUAGUGUUGGAGCUAGGGUUAGGGUUGGGCUUGGAGCUAGGAUUUUUCUGAGUGCACUGAACCAACUCCCGAGUCUCUAGGACGUUCCUAAAAAAAUUUGAUUUUUUCCCAUAGGAAUGCAUGGGUUAGGGUUAGGGUCAGGGUUAGGGUUGGAGCUAGGGUUAGGGUUAGGGUUAGGGUUGGAGUUAGGGUUAGUGUUGGAGCUAGGGUUAGGGUUGGGCUUGGAGCUAGGAUUUUUCUGAGUGCAAUGAACCAACUCCCGAGUCUCUAGGACGUUCCUAAAAAAAUUUGAUUUUUUCCCAUAGGAAUGCAUGGGUUAGGGUUAGGGUUAGGGUUAGGGUUGGAGCUAGGGUUAGGGUUAGGGUUAGGGUUGGAGUUAGGGUUAGUGUUGGAGNNNNNNNNNNNNNNNNNNNNNNNNNNNNNNNNNNNNNNNNNNNNNNNNNNNNNNNNNNNNNNNNNNNNNNNNNNNNNNNNNNNNNNNNNNNNNNNNNNNNNNNNNNNNNNNNNNNNNNNNNNNNNNNNNNNNNNNNNNNNNNNNNNNNNNNNNNNNNNNNNNNNNNNNNNNNNNNNNNNNNNNNNNNNNNNNNNNNNNNNGAACCAACUCCCAAGUCUCUAGGACGUUCCUAAAAAAAUUUGAUUUUUCCCAUAGGAAUGCAUGGGUUAGGGUUAGGGUCAGGGUUAGGGUUGGAGCUAGGGUUAGGGUUAGGGUUAGGGUUGGAGUUAGGGUUAGUGUUGGAGCUAGGGUUAGGGUUGGGCUUGGAGCUAGGAUUUUUCUGAGUGCAAUGAACCAACUCCCGAGUCUCUAGGACGUUCCUAAAAAAAUUUGAUUUUUUCCCAUAGGAAUGCAUGGGUUAGGGUUAGGGUUAGGGUUAGGGUUGGAGCUAGGGUUAGGGUUAGGGUUAGGGUUGGAGUUAGGGUUAGUGUUGGAGCUAGGGUUAGGGUUGGGCUUGGAGCUAGGAUUUUUCUGAGUGCAAUGAACCAACUCCCGAGUCUCUAGGACGUUCCUAAAAAAUUUUUAUUUUUUCCCAUAGGAAUGCAUGGGUUAGGGUUAGGGUUAGGAUUGGAGCUAGGGUUAGGGUAAGGGUUAGGGUUAGUGUUGGAGCUAGGGUUAGGGUUGGGCUUGGAGCUAGGAUUUUUCUGAGUGCAAUGAACCAACUCCCGAGUCUCUAGGACGUUCCCAAAAAAAUUUGAUUUUUUCCCAUAGGAAUGCAUGGGUUAGGGUUAGGGUUAGGGAUGGAGCUAGGGUUAGGGUUAGGGUUAGGGUUGGAGUUAGGGUUAGUGUUGGAGCUAGGGUUAGGGUUGGGCUUGGAGCUAGGAUUGUUCUGAGUCCACUGAACCAACUCCCGAGUCUCUAGGACGUUCCUAAAAAAAUUUGAUUUUUCCCAUAGGAAUGCAUGGGUUAUGGUUAGGGUUAGGGUUAGGGUUGGAGCUAGGGUUAGGGUUAGGGUUAGGGUUGGAGUUAGGGUUAGUGUUGGAGCUAGGGUUAGGGUUGGGCUUGGAGCUAGGAUUUUUCUGAGUGCACUGAACCAACUCCCAAGUCUCUAGGACGUUCCUAAAAAAAUUUGAUUUUUUCCCAUAGGAAUGCAAGGGUUAGGGUUAGGGUCAGGGUUAGGGUUGGAGCUAGGGUUAGGGUUAGGGUUAGGGUUGGAGUUAGGGUUAGUGUUGGAGCUAGGGUUAGGGUUGGGCUUGGAGCUAGGAUUUUUCUGAGUGCAAUGAACCAACUCCCGAGUCUCUAGGACGUUCCUAAAAAAAUUUGAUUUUUUCCCAUAGGAAUGCAUGGGUUAGGGUUAGGGUUAGGGUUAGGGUUGGAGCUAGGGUUAGGGUUAGGGUUAGGGUUGGAGUUAGGGUUAGUGUUGGAGCUAGGGUUAGGGUUGGGCUUGGAGCUAGGAUUUUUCGGAGUGCAAUGAACCAACUCCCGAGUCUCUAGGACGUUCCCAAAAAAAUUUGAUUUUUUCCCAUAGGAAUGCAUGGGUUAGGGUUAGGGUUAGGGAUGGAGCUAGGGUUAGGGUUAGGGUUAGGGUUGGAGUUAGGGUUAGUGUUGGAGCUAGGGUUAGGGUUGGGCUUGGAGCUAGGAUUGUUCUGAGUCCACUGAACCAACUCCCGAGUCUCUAGGACGUUCCUAAAAAAAUUUGAUUUUUCCCAUAGGAAUGCAUGGGUUAGGGUUAGGGUUAGGGUUAGGGUUGGAGCUAGGGUUAGGGUUAGGGUUAGGGUUGGAGUUAGGGUUAGUGUUGGAGCUAGGGUUAGGGUUGGGCUUGGAGCUAGGAUUUUUCUGAGUGCACUGAACCAACUCCCAAGUCUCUAGGACGUUCCUAAAAAAAUUUGAUUUUUUCCCAUAGGAAUGCAUGGGUUAGGGUUAGGGUCAGGGUUAGGGUUGGAGCUAGGGUUAGGGUUAGGGUUAGGGUUGGAGUUAGGGUUAGUGUUGGAGCUAGGGUUAGGGUUGGGCUUGGAGCUAGGAUUUUUCUGAGUGCAAUGAACCAACUCCCGAGUCUCUAGGACGUUCCUAAAAAAAUUUGAUUUUUUCCCAUAGGAAUGCAUGGGUUAGGGUUAGGGUUAGGGUUAGGGUUGGAGCUAGGGUUAGGGUUAGGGUUAGGGUUGGAGUUAGGGUUAGUGUUGGAGCUAGGGUUAGGGUUGGGCUUGGAGCUAGGAUUUUUCUGAGUGCAAUGAACCAACUCCCGAGUCUCUAGGACGUUCCUAAAAAAUUUUUAUUUUUUCCCAUAGGAAUGCAUGGGUUAGGGUUAGGGUUAGGGUUGGAGCUAGGGUUAGGGUUAGGGUUGGGUUAGGGUUAGUGUUGGAGCUAGGGUUAGGGUUGGGCUUGGAGCUAGGAUUUUUCUGAGUGCAAUGAACCAACUCCCGAGUCUCUAGGACGUUCCCAAAAAAAUUUGAUUUUUUCCCAUAGGAAUGCAUGGGUUAGGGUUAGGGUUAGGGUUGGAGCUAGGGUUAGGGUUAGGGUUAGGGUUGGAGUUAGGGUUAGUGUUGGAGCUAGGGUUAGGGUUGGGCUUGGAGCUAGGAUUUUUCUGAGUGCAAUGAACCAACUCCCGAGUCUCUAGGACGUUCCUAAAAAAAUUUGAUUUUUUCCCAUAGGAAUGCAUGGGUUAGGGUUAGGGUUAGGGUUUGAGCUAGGGUUAGGGUUAGGGUUAGGGUUGGAGUUAGGGUUAGUGUUGGAGCUAGGGUUAGGGUUGGGCUUGGAGCUAGGAUUUUUCUGAGUGCACUGAACCAACUCCCGAGUCUCUAGGACGUUCCUAAAAAAAUUUGAUUUUUUCCCAUAGGAAUGCAUGGGUUAGGGUUAGGGUUAGGGUUGGAGCUAGGGUUAGGGUUAGGGUUAGGGUUGGAGUUAGGGUUAGUGUUGGAGCUAGGGUUAGGGUUGGGCUUGGAGCUAGGAUUUUUCUGAGUCCACUGAACCAACUCCCGAGUCUCUAGGACGUUCCUAAAAAAAUUUGAUUUUUUCCCAUAGGAAUGCAUGGGUUAGGGUUAGGGUUAGGGUUAGGGUUGGAGCUAGGGUUAGGGUUAGGGUUAGGGUUGGAGUUAGGGUUAGUGUUGGAGCUAGGGUUAGGGUUGGGCUUGGAGCUAGGAUUUUUCUGAGUGCACUGAACCAACUCCCAAGUCUCUAGGACGUUCCUAAAAAAAUUUGAUUUUUUCCCAUAGGAAUGCAUGGGUUAGGGUUAGGGUUAGGGUUAGGGUUGGAGCUAGGGUUAGGGUUGGAGUUAGGGUUAGUGUUGGAGCUAGGGUUAGGGUUGGGCUUGGAGCUAGGAUUUUUCUGAGUGCAAUGAACCAACUCCCGAGUCUCUAGGACGUUCCUAAAAAAAUUUGAUUUUUUCCCAUAGGAAUGCAUGGGUUAGGGUUAGGGUUAGGGUUGGAGCUAGGGUUAGGGUUAGGGUUAGGGUUGGAGUUAGGGUUAGUGUUGGAGCUAGGGUUAGGGUUGGGCUUGGAGCUAGGAUUUUUCUGAGUGCAAUGAACCAACUCCCGAGUCUCUAGGACGUUCCUAAAAAAAUUUGAUUUUUUCCCAUAGGAAUGCAUGGGUUAGGGUUAGGGUUAGGGUUGGAGCUAGGGUUAGGGUUAGGGUUAGGGUUGGAGUUAGGGUUAGUGUUGGAGCUAGGGUUAGGGUUGGGCUUGGAGCUAGGAUUUUUCUGAGUGCACUGAACCAACUCCCGAGUCUCUAGGACGUUCCUAAAAAAAUUUGAUUUUUUCCCAUAGUAAUGCAUGGGUUAGGGUUAGGGUUAGGGUUGGAGCUAGGGUUAGGGUUAGGGUUAGGGUUGGAGUUAGGGUUAGUGUUGGAGCUAGGGUUAGGGUUGGGCUUGGAGCUAGGAUUUUUCUGAGUGCAAUGAACCAACUCCCGAGUCUCUAGGACGUUCCUAAAAAAUUUUUAUUUUUUCCCAUAGGAAUGCAUGGGUUAGGGUUAGGGUUAGGGUUGGAGCUAGGGUUAGGGUUAGGGUUAGGGUUGGAGUUAGGGUUAGUGUUGGAGCUAGGGUUAGGGUUGGGCUUGGAGCUAGGAUUUUUCUGAGUGCAAUGAACCAACUCCCGAGUCUCUAGGACGUUCCUAAAAAAAUUUGAUUUUUUCCCAUAGGAAUGCAUGGGUUAGGGUUAGGGUUAGGGUUGGAGCUAGGGUUAGGGUUAGGGUUAGGGUUGGAGUUAGGGUUAGUGUUGGAGCUAGGGUUAGGGUUGGGCUUGGAGCUAGGAUUUUUCUGAGUGCAAUGAACCAACUCCCGAGUCUCUAGGACGUUCCUAAAAAAAUUUGAUUUUUUCCCAUAGGAAUGCAUGGGUUAGGGUUAGGGUUAGGGUUGGAGCUAGGGUUAGGGUUAGGGUUAGGGUUGGAGUUAGGGUUAGUGUUGGAGCUAGGGUUAGGGUUGGGCUUGGAGCUAGGAUUUUUCUGAGUGCAAUGAACCAACUCCCGAGUCUCUAGGACGUUCCUAAAAAAAUUUGAUUUUUUCCCAUAGGAAUGCAUGGGUUAGGGUUAGGGUUAGGGUUGGAGCUAGGGUUAGGGUUAGGGUUAGGGUUGGAGUUAGGGUUAGUGUUGGAGCUAGGGUUAGGGUUGGGCUUGGAGCUAGGAUUUUUCUGAGUGCAAUGAACCAACUCCCGAGUCUCUAGGACGUUCCUAAAAAAAUUUGAUUUUUUCCCAUAGGAAUGCAUGGGUUAGGGUUAGGGUUAGGGUUGGAGCUAGGGUUAGGGUUAGGGUUAGGGUUGGAGUUAGGGUUAGUGUUGGAGCUAGGGUUAGGGUUGGGCUUGGAGCUAGGAUUUUUCUGAGUGCAAUGAACCAACUCCCGAGUCUCUAGGACGUUCCUAAAAAAAUUUGAUUUUUUCCCAUAGGAAUGCAUGGGUUAGGGUUAGGGUUAGGGUUGGAGUUUAGGGUUAGGGUUAGGGUUGGAGUUAGGGUUAGUGUUGGAGCUAGGGUUAGGGUUGGGCUUGGAGCUAGGAUUUUUCUGAGUGCAAUGAACCAACUCCCGAGUCUCUAGGACGUUCCUAAAAAAAUUUGAUUUUUUCCCAUAGGAAUGCAUGGGUUAGGGUUAGGGUUAGGGUUGGAGCUAGGGUUAGGGUUAGGGUUAGGGUUGGAGUUAGGGUUAGUGUUGGAGCUAGGGUUAGGGUUGGGCUUGGAGCUAGGAUUUUUCUGAGUGCACUGAACCAACUCCCGAGUCUCUAGGACGUUCCUAAAAAAAUUUGAUUUUUUCCCAUAGGAAUGCAUGGGUUAGGGUUAGGGUCAGGGUAGGGUUGGAGCUAGGGUUAGGGUUAGGGUUAGGGUUGGAGUUAGGGUUAGUGUUGGAGCUAGGGUUAGGGUUGGGCUUGGAGCUAGGAUUUUUCUGAGUGCAAUGAACCAACUCCCGAGUCUCUAGGACGUUCCUAAAAAAAUUUGAUUUUUUCCCAUAGGAAUGCAUGGGUUAGGGUUAGGGUUAGGGUUGGAGCUAGGGUUAGGGUUAGGGUUAGGGUUGGAGUUAGGGUUAGUGUUGGAGCUAGGGUUAGGGUUGGGCUUGGAGCUAGGAUUUUUCUGAGUGCAAUGAACCAACUCCCGAGUCUCUAGGACAUUCCUAAAAAAUUUGAUUUUUUCCCAUAGGAAUGCAUGGGUUAGGGUUAGGGUUAGGGUUGGAGCUAGGGUUAGGGUUAGGGUUAGGGUUGGAAUUAGGGUUAGUGUUGGAGCUAGGGUUAGGGUUGGGCUUGGAGCUAGGAUUUUUCGGAGUGCAAUGAACCAACUCCCGAGUCUCUAGGACGUUCCUAAAAAAAUUUGAUUUUUUCCCAUAGUAAUGCAUGGGUUAGGGUUAGGGUUAGGGUUGGAGCUAGGGUUAGGGUUAGGGUUAGGGUUGGAGUUAGGGUUAGUGUUGGAGCUAGGGUUAGGGUUGGGCUUGGAGCUAGGAUUUUUCUGAGUGCAAUGAACCAACUCCCGAGUCUCUAGGACGUUCCUAAAAAAAUUUGAUUUUUCCCAUAGGAAUGCAUGGGUUAGGGUUAGGGUUAGGGUUGGAGCUAGGGUUAGGGUUAGGGUUAGGGUUGGAGUUAGGGUUAGUGUUGGAGCUAGGGUUAGGGUUGGGCUUGGAGCUAGGAUUUUUCUGAGUGCAAUGAACCAACUCCCGAGUCUCUAGGACGUUCCUAAAAAAAUUUGAUUUUUUCCCAUAGGAAUGCAUGGGUUAGGGUUAGGGUUAGGGUUGGAGCUAGGGUUAGGGUUAGGGUUAGGGUUGGAGUUAGGGUUAGUGUUGGAGCUAGGGUUAGGGUUGGGCUUGGAGCUAGGAUUUUUCUGAGUGCAAUGAACCAACUCCCGAGUCUCUAGGACGUUCCUAAAAAAAUUUGAUUUUUUCCCAUAGGAAUGCAUGGGUUAGGGUUAGGGUUGGAGGGGUUAGGGUUAGUUAGGGUUAGUGUUGGAGCUAGGGUUAGGGUUGGGCUUGGAGCUAGGAUUUUUCUGAGUGCAAUGAACCAACUCCCGAGUCUCUAGGACGUUCCUAAAAAAAUUUGAUUUUUUCCCAUAGGAAUGCAUGGGUUAGGGUUAGGGUUAGGGUUAGGGUUGGAGCUAGGGUUAGGGUUAGGGUUAGGGUUGGAGUUAGGGUUAGUGUUGGAGCUAGGGUUAGGGUUGGGCUUGGAGCUAGGAUUUUUCUGAGUGCAAUGAACCAACUCCCGAGUCUCUAGGACGUUCCUAAAAAAAUUUGAUUUUUUCCCAUAGGAAUGCAUGGGUUAGGGUUAGGGUUAGGGUUGGAGCUAGGGUUAGGGUUAGGGUUAGGGUUGGAGUUAGGGUUAGUGUUGGAGCUAGGGUUAGGGUUGGGCUUGGAGCUAGGAUUUUUCUGAGUGCAAUGAACCAACUCCCGAGUCUCUAGGACGUUCCUAAAAAAAUUAGAUUUUUUCCCAUAGGAAUGCAUGGGUUAGGGUUUAGGGUUAGGGUUGGAGCUAGGGUUAGGGUUAGGGUUAGGGUUGGAGUUAGGGUUAGUGUUGGAGCUAGGGUUAGGGUUGGGCUUGGAGCUAGGAUUUUUCUGAGUGCACUGAACCAACUCCCGAGUCUCUAGGACGUUCCUAAAAAAAUUUGAUUUUUUCCCAUAGGAAUGCAUGGGUUAGGGUUAGGGUUAGGGUUAGGGUUAGGGUUGGAGUUAGGGUUAGUGUUGGAGCUAGGGUUAGGGUUGGGCUUGGAGCUAGGAUUUUUCUGAGUGCAAUGAACCAACUCCCGAGUCUCUAGGACGUUCCUAAAAAAAUUUGAUUUUUUCCCAUAGGAAUGCAUGGGUUAGGGUUAGGGUUAGGGUUGGAGCUAGGGUUAGGGUUAGGGUUAGGGUUAGGGUUGGAGUUAGGGUUAGUGUUGGAGCUAGGGUUAGGGUUGGGCUUGGAGCUAGGAUUUUUCUGAGUGCAAUGAACCAACUCCCGAGUCUCUAGGACGUUCCUAAAAAAAUUUGAUUUUUUCCCAUAGGAAUGCAUGGGUUAGGGUUAGGGUUAGGGUUGGAGCUAGGGUUAGGGUUAGGGUUAGGGUUGGAGUUAGGGUUAGUGUUGGAGCUAGGGUUAGGGUUGGGCUUGGAGCUAGGAUUUUUCUGAGUGCACUGAACCAACUCCCGAGUCUCUAGGACGUUCCUAAAAAAAUUUGAUUUUUUCCCAUAGGAAUGCAUGGGUUAGGGUUAGGGUUAGGGUUGGAGCUAGGGUUAGGGUUAGGGUUAGGGUUGGAGUUAGGGUUAGUGUUGGAGCUAGGGUUAGGGUUGGGCUUGGAGCUAGGAUUUUUCUGAGUGCACUGAACCAACUCCCGAGUCUCUAGGACGUUCCUAAAAAAAUUUGAUUUUUUCCCAUAGGAAUGCAUGGGUUAGGGUUAGGGUUAGGGUUAGGGUUGGAGCUAGGGUUAGGGUUAGGGUUAGGGUUGGAGUUAGGGUUAGUGUUGGAGCUAGGGUUAGGGUUGGGCUUGGAGCUAGGAUUUUUCUGAGUGCAAUGAACCAACUCCCGAGUCUCUAGGACGUUCCUAAAAAAAUUUGAUUUUUUCCCAUAGGAAUGCAUGGGUUAGGGUUAGGGUUAGGGUUAGGGUUGGAGCUAGGGUUAGGGUUAGGGUUAGGGUUGGAGUUAGGGUUAGUGUUGGAGCUAGGGUUAGGGUUGGGGUUAGGGUUGGAGUUAGGGUUAGUGUUGGAGCUAGGGUUAGGGUUGGGCUUGGAGCUAGGAUUUUUCUGAGUGCAAUGAACCAACUCCCGAGUCUCUAGGACGUUCCUAAAAAAAUUUGAUUUUUUCCCAUAGGAAUGCAUGGGUUAGGGUUAGGGUUAGGGUUAGGGUUGGAGCUAGGGUUAGGGUUAGGGUUAGGGUUGGAGUUAGGGUUAGUGUUGGAGCUAGGGUUAGGGUUGGGCUUGGAGCUAGGAUUUUUCUGAGUGCAAUGAACCAACUCCCGAGUCUCUAGGACGUUCCUAAAAAAAUUUGAUUUUUUCCCAUAGGAAUGCAUGGGUUAGGGUUAGGGUUAGGGUUGGAGCUAGGGUUAGGGUUAGGGUUAGGGUUGGAGUUAGGGUUAGUGUUGGAGCUAGGGUUAGGGUUGGGCUUGGAGCUAGGAUUUUUCUGAGUGCAAUGAACCAACUCCCGAGUCUCUAGGACGUUCCUAAAAAAAUUUGAUUUUUUCCCAUAGGAAUGCAUGGGUUAGGGUUAGGGUUGGAGUUAGGGUUAGUGUUGGAGCUAGGGUUAGGGUUGGGCUUGGAGCUAGGAUUUUUCUGAGUGCAAUGAACCAACUCCCGAGUCUCUAGGACGUUCCCAAAAAAAAAUUUGAUUUUUUCCCAUAGGAAUGCAUGGGUUAGGGUUAGGGUUAGGGUUAGGGUUGGAGCUAGGGUUAGGGUUAGGGUUAGGGUUGGAGUUAGGGUUAGUGUUGGAGCUAGGGUUAGGGUUGGGCUUGGAGCUAGGAUUUUUCUGAGUGCAAUGAACCAACUCCCGAGUCUCUAGGACGUUCCUAAAAAAAUUUGAUUUUUUCCCAUAGGAAUGCAUGGGUUAGGGUUAGGGUUAGGGUUAGGGUUGGAGCUAGGGUUAGGGUUAGGGUUAGGGUUGGAGUUAGGGUUAGUGUUGGAGCUAGGGUUAGGGUUGGGCUUGGAGCUAGGAUUUUCUGAGUGCACUGAACCAACUCCCGAGUCUCUAGGACGUUCCUAAAAA
This 24008-nucleotide long non-coding RNA is filed under the name Xyrichtys novacula (pearly razorfish). Lineage: Eukaryota; Metazoa; Chordata; Actinopteri; Labriformes; Labridae. The record is from RNAcentral.